ACGAACGGGUGGAGCUUGCGGUUUAAUUGGAUUCAACGCCGGAAAUCUUACCGGGACGACAGCAAUAUGAAGGCCAGGCUGAAGACUUUGCCGGAUUAGCUGAGAGGUGGUGCAUGGCCGUCGUCAGUUCGUACUGUGAAGCAUCCUGUUAAGUCAGGCAACGAGCGAGACCCACGCCCACAGUUGCCAGCGUACUCUCUGGAGUGACGGGUACACUGUGGGGACCGCCGCUGCUAAAGCGGAGGAAGGAAUGGGCAACGGUAGGUCAGUAUGCCCCGAAUAUCCCGGGCUACACGCGAGCUACAAUGGUUGGUACAAUGGGUAUCUACCCCGAAAGGGGACGGGAAUCUCCUAAAACCAAUCUUAGUUCGGAUUGAGGGCUGCAACUCGCCCUCAUGAAGCUGGAAUCCGUAGUAAUCGCGUUUCAACAGAACGCGGUGAAUACGUCCCUGCUCCUU
RNAcentral lists this ribosomal RNA (458 nucleotides) under uncultured Methanosaeta sp. RNAcentral describes it as "bacterial SSU rRNA". It matches the Rfam family "Archaeal small subunit ribosomal RNA", at positions 881 to 1338 of the family's 1478-position model. Lineage: Archaea; Methanobacteriati; Methanobacteriota; Methanomicrobia; Methanotrichales; Methanotrichaceae. The record is from RNAcentral.